CAGUAGCCGCGGGAAUACAGAGGGUGCAAGCGUUAAUCGGAAUUACUGGGCGUAAAGCGCGCGUAGGUGGUUUGUUAAGUUGGAUGUGAAAUCCCCGGGCUCAACCUGGGAACUGCAUCCAAAACUGGCAAGCUAGAGUAUGGUAGAGGGUGGUGGAAUUUCCUGUGUAGCGGUGAAAUGCGUAGAUAUAGGAAGGAACACCAGUGGCGAAGGCGACCACCUGGACUGAUACUGAAACUGAGGUGCGAAAGCGUGGGGAGCAAACAGGAUUAGAUACCCCCGUAGUCCCUGUCUCUUAUAC
RNAcentral lists this ribosomal RNA (301 nucleotides) under uncultured bacterium. Its description in RNAcentral is "partial 16S ribosomal RNA". It matches the Rfam family "Bacterial small subunit ribosomal RNA", at positions 509 to 807 of the family's 1533-position model. The record is from RNAcentral.